UUAAGCCAUAUCCUUUCUCUUAUGCUCAUACUUUCAUUUGUAACCCUAAUUCCUUGUCACGAACAAUGAUACGCUCUCCCUCCUCAUUCGCCGCCGCGAACUUACCCUCGCCACCCACCGGCGAGGUAGACCUCGCUUUACCACAAAAAACUCGGUUUUCUUCAUCUCCUCAAUUAUCUCUUGACCGAAAGACUAUUCUUUGUUUGUUACCAAACCAUCGAUGUCAAAAGCUCCAUUUUUAUGGUCAACUCCGCCCAUAAAAUCUCUGUUUUCGACCACCUCUGAUCUUAUCUGUGGAGUUGAGCAAUGGAUAUGUCAUCUUCAUCUCUUGAACUUUGAGUUCGGUUAGUUUAUUUCAAUAUCUGACACCGUCACCGGAAACCACCGCGGCGACAUUCAUCUCCAUUACAGAGAUAGAUUCCUUCGAAAUGAAACUAUUGAAGAUGAGAGGUCUCCUUCUACAGAGUGGAUUGAAUUAGUUCAAUUAAGACAACGACACCGUCUCCGGUAUAAGGUAUGCAAUUAAAAUAACUGAUGUGUAUGUCAAAGUCUCUAAUUGAGUUUCCACUUCAUUAAGAUUCUUGAUUGAUGUGUAUGUCAAUGUCUCUAAUGAGCAGAUAAUAAUAACUGAUCAGAAACUUCUAUGAACUUUGUAUGCUUAUGUGUAUGCCAAUGAAUCUAUGUAGGAUUUUCUCUAUAAUAUAUUAAUAUGUGAUUAUAAUUUUUUUCACUUGAGUUACAUUAUCAAAUGAUUCAAAAUGAUCAAAAUCAUCUGUCUACAAUAGUUCUUCCUGACCAUCUUUGUAUUAUGUGUAUGGAAAUAUUAAUUUAUGAUGGGUCUGUAUCUUCACAUUGGUGUUGAAUUCCAAUGUUUCUUGGUAUAAUGUUUUUGAGUUAAGAUAGAGAAGUGCAUAGUUGGUAACCCAGCUUUGCUAUCUUUUUAUGUAAUCCUUUUUUUAAAACUAAUAGUCCUCUAUUGGUGGUGGUAUAUAUUCCAUUUUCUUGCCUCGUAGAUGCUAUCACAUUAGCAUUCAAGAUGUUGUCUCCAAAGCUGAUCCGUUGAAGUCGUUCCCUGUGAUAUAUGCAACAGAAGAUCGUUAUCUCACACAACACGAGCUAUUAAUGUAUCUGUGUGACAACACAAGAAGGAAUACAUGAGGCUCAAGAAAUGAAUGCAAAACAAACAAAAAGGAAAUAAAGAUUUGGUGAUGGAGCUUGUUGUCUAGAUGUGAAGAAAAUGAAAGCAAAUAAGGGCUAUAUAUAUUGUUGAGAAUUUGUACCUUCUACUUGCUCUUCAAGUUUUGUAUUAAUAUAAUAUUAAUAUAAUUUAUUUCUUUUAAGUAA
Trifolium pratense (red clover) is the source of this 1344-nucleotide long non-coding RNA. RefSeq lists it as uncharacterized. The transcript has 4 exons. Lineage: Eukaryota; Viridiplantae; Streptophyta; Magnoliopsida; Fabales; Fabaceae. The record is from RefSeq and is a predicted model, not a curated record.